AUCUAUGUGCUUUUUUUGGGGGGGGGGAAGGUAUUAACUCAUUUAGUAUUAUAGGUACCGAGUUCAUACCAGGCACUGUGCUACCCUGGAGUCUCAAAGGUGAAUUAGUUGUGGCCUCUAUUUUCAAAGAACUUAGCCUGAUCAUCUCAAUAUAAUGUGUAGAGUAUGAAAUCCAUGCCUGUUUCUAUGGAAUACCUGAACUGCUUCUUAAAGCUACAGGUGAAUUCAGAGGUGGACCUAAGGAAGAGGGACCAACUGUGGACACACAUUUAGAAUUUCUGACUCCCAGGAUUAUCCUUUUCUCAGUGCAGGGUACCACCACACUACCUCCUACCCACCACCUGAUCAAUCUAGGAGAGCAGAAGGGAGCCUCUAGGAUGGUUGGAAAAGAAAAACCGGAACUCUUUUUAGCAUAUUAACAUACGAAAGUUAAUGCUAAGUGGCCAAACUUAGCCCGUUCAGACUCCUGUUCUUAACUGACUCUGUGGGAAGGUCCCAGGAACAAACCAGUCAUGCACAGAAAAGCACUCAUGAAGACAGAACAGUAAGUGCAAAGGCUCAAUGAGUGUGUCAGGUCAUCAGCUGAGAGUAAGGUACAGGGAGGAAGUAAUGUGACAUUUUAAUAAUAAAUGAAAAGAAGCUUAAGAAAUAAACUCUUAC
Molecule: long non-coding RNA, 660 nt
Filed under: Felis catus (domestic cat)
Lineage: Eukaryota; Metazoa; Chordata; Mammalia; Carnivora; Felidae
Description: lncRNA (ENSFCAG00000043909.2)
Source: RNAcentral